ACAGACAGUUUAGAAUUUGCAGUGAUCGAAUGGAAUGCGAAAUUCUGCGUUAUUGGAGCUUUAUCACAAACUUUUAAGCUAGACUGGCUGCCUAGGUAAAUGUCUUGAUUCAGUGUUUACAGAACUGUGUCUACGUCAACAGUAAGUCGGAAAUAGGGUGAUAAUUUCAUAUCAUAUUUUGCUGUUUAAACAGCUUCGACAGCAGGUCGUUAUGGGUUAUUAUGUGAUGUACAACGUGUAAGUGUGCGUGCCUCAAGCACUUGACCUCGCCAUCAAUGAUCGCAGAAGGUGGGUCGGUUAAAUUGGUGACCCAGAUGCAGUGGAAGCAAUCAGGAAGAGAAAGGAUUUGUCUCCGGAACAAAGCAAAUUUUUGAUGACGUGCCUAUUGGCGAAGUCAACCCGCCACGCCCACCACCCACUCAAAGAAAUUGGGGCAAUCAAGGCAUAUGUAGUGCCCAUAACACGGUUACCAAUCACUUAUCACCUUCCCGAGCUUCAGUUUUCAUUGGCAUGAAGUUCCUCGGCCAGCACUUGCACUUUGUAGUUGCCUCUUCUUCUUGCGCCCUUGAUUGGCGAUUUUGCUGCGGACUAUGAAUUAGCUUUUCCGCCUUUCGUUGUGAGGAAAGGGCGGAUGCAGCUGUAAAAACCACUGGUUGUACUCUUUGUUCUGGUCUUUUGUGAAAUCCUUGGCUGGAUUUUUCUCCGCGAACGAAAAUUAAACGAUUUUCGCACUUCCCUACGCUCUCUCCACUCCCAAAACUUCCUUCCGCACUAGUUUCUUUCUUACACGAUUUCAAGCGCUCCUCGCGUGCUCCGGAUGGAUGCGAACACGUCCUAUAUUGGCAGGCGGAUUCUUUGGACUUGGCGUCGUACGCUGCUAUGCACAAUUAACUUAAAUGCAAACUUUUUGCAUUUUCCGGAGAACAAAAAAUUUUGAGGCCACGUCAAUAGUGUGACCGUUGGUUUUAAAAAAGAGAUGACAGUGCUCUGGGUCGCCUAUCGAUUGCAAAUAAAAUGUUAUCGAUACCAAUGGUAACAUUAUUUUUGUAACAAUUCAAAUUUAAAACUUAACGCAAUGUUUAUUAAGUGAAGACAAGCAAUGUAUAUUAUAUAUAACUCUGUUAAUGAUAUGAGCUUAAAUGUUCGUAAGCCCGAAAUCCAAAAUCCAUUAAAACUGCUUAAAGAACAAAUCGCUUUAUUUGCAAUAUUU
Drosophila melanogaster (fruit fly) is the source of this 1210-nucleotide non-coding RNA. Lineage: Eukaryota; Metazoa; Arthropoda; Insecta; Diptera; Drosophilidae. The record is from Ensembl.